Molecule: ribosomal RNA, 560 nt
Filed under: uncultured bacterium
Lineage: Bacteria
Description: bacterial SSU rRNA
Rfam family: Bacterial small subunit ribosomal RNA
Source: RNAcentral
AGAGUUUGAUCAUGGCUCAGAUUGAACGCUGGCGGCAGGCUUAACACAUGCAAGUCGAGCGGUAACAGGAGAAGCUUGCUUCUCGCUGACGAGCGGCGGACGGGUGAGUAAUACUUAGGAAUCUACCUAGUAGUGGGGGAUAGCUCGGGGAAACUCGAAUUAAUACCGCAUACGACCUACGGGAGAAAGGGGGCAACUUGUUGCUCUCGCUAUUAGAUGAGCCUAAGUCGGAUUAGCUAGAUGGUGGGGUAAAGGCCUACCAUGGCGACGAUCUGUAGCUGGUCUGAGAGGAUGAUCAGCCACACCGGGACUGAGACACGGCCCGGACUCCUACGGGAGGCAGCAGUGGGGAAUAUUGGACAAUGGGGGCAACCCUGAUCCAGCCAUGCCGCGUGUGUGAAGAAGGCCUUUUGGUUGUACAGCACUUUAAGCAGUGAAGAAGACUCCAUGGUUAAUACCCAUGGACGAUGACAUUAGCUGCAGAAUAAGCACCGGCUAACUCUGUGCCAGCAGCCGCGGUAAUACAGAGGGUGCAAGCGUUAAUCGGAAUUACUGGGCGU